RNAcentral lists this ribosomal RNA (253 nucleotides) under uncultured bacterium. RNAcentral's name for it is "partial 16S ribosomal RNA". It matches the Rfam family "Bacterial small subunit ribosomal RNA", at positions 524 to 776 of the family's 1533-position model. The record is from RNAcentral.
UACAGAGGUCCCAAGCGUUGUUCGGAUUCACUGGGCGUAAAGGGUGCGUAGGUGGCGCGUUAAGUCCGUUGUGAAAUCCCGGGGCUUAACCCCGGGCGUGCAGUGGAUACGGGCAGGCUGGAGGCAGGCAGGGGAGAAUGGAAUUCCCGGUGUAGCGGUGAAAUGCGCAGAUAUCGGGAGGAACACCGGUGGCGAAGGCGGUUCUCUGGGCCUGUUCUGACGCUGAGGAGCGAAAGCGUGGGGAGCGAACAGG